UACGAAGGGUGCUAGCGUUGUUCGGAGUCACUGGGCGUAAAGGGCGCGUAGGCGGCGCACCAAGUCAGGCGUGAAAGCCCUGGGCUCAACCCGGGAAUUGCGCUUGAGACUGGUGUGCUUGAGUACGGGAGAGGAUAGUGGAAUUCCCAAUGUAGAGGUGAAAUUCGUAGAUAUUGGGAAGAACACCGGUGGCGAAGGCGGCUAUCUGGACCGUAACUGACGCUGAGGCGCGAAAGCGUGGGGAGCAAACAGG
Molecule: ribosomal RNA, 253 nt
Filed under: uncultured bacterium
Lineage: Bacteria
Description: partial 16S ribosomal RNA
Rfam family: Bacterial small subunit ribosomal RNA
Source: RNAcentral